Paraphoma chrysanthemicola is the source of this 120-nucleotide non-coding RNA. The record is from the annotation of a GenBank genome assembly. NCBI's taxonomy places the organism in Eukaryota, Fungi, Ascomycota, Dothideomycetes, Pleosporales, Phaeosphaeriaceae.
GAUCUCCUGGCGCAGUGGUAGCGCACCAAGGGUUUACUGGAGCAGACCGGCUGGCGUGUACCGCGGCAUGCCAGUUCGCUCCAAAUUUGGAGGUCCCGUGUUCAAUUCACGGGGAGAUCA